This 821-nucleotide long non-coding RNA is filed under the name Gossypium barbadense (sea-island cotton). RNAcentral's name for it is "long non-coding RNA (GBAR_LNC017424)". Lineage: Eukaryota; Viridiplantae; Streptophyta; Magnoliopsida; Malvales; Malvaceae. The record is from RNAcentral.
AAACCUUCAAAAACAGCUCUCCCCCUUCCCAGACGUCCGGCCUAGGUCCGGCCAUCGGUCAUCGCGCCUGCUGUAGUAUGCGGUGGCCGAAAAAUGAGGAAAUUUCCUAGUUGGCCCUCUCGAUCCUUCCAAGCCCAGAUCUGGGUUCAAACUUUCCAAAAAACCAACAAAAAAACGCGAAGUGAUCCCGAAACCCUUCGGUUUCUGGCCACCAAUCCUCGGGGGUGGUUCCCUCAACCGACCACGGCGGCUCUGACUCGAACGAAGGUAGUUUCUUUCCCUCCCUUUUUUUAUCUUAUAUUAUUCGCUUAUAUAAAUAAAAAAUAAAUAUAACAAAUAAAAAAUAACUAUUGCAAAUAUCAACCUUUUCGAUUGAUUUGCUCUCCGUAUUCAACUCUCGGUUUGCUGUGGAAAUGCCCCCUUUUUAUUGAUUUUUCGAUCCCUUUUUACAGUAUAUUCAUGGCUUUUUUAUAGCCGAAGUAAAACACUAAGUAAAUCUGUUUUAGCGAUUUGAUUCGUAAUUUUUUGAUUCUUUUUUCCAUAUCUGUUUGAUUUCUUUCCUUGUUGUGCAGGUGAAGGCGUGCGGCUCAUGUGGGGUUUGGUUGCGGCGCGAGUUCACCCCUGAAACCCUAGAGUUUCUUGAAUCUAUUUUGGGCCACUGUAUUUGGGCCUUUGUUUUAUAUUGGUUUGGGCUCUUAUUGGCCUGUCUAUAAUUCGGGCAUUUUACCUGGGCCAAAAUAGGGUAUUACAGAUAUCAAUGAUGUGUACGAAUAAUAAUUGUUGACACCAUUUUUUGGAUGAAAACGAGGUCGACUUGGGUU